This is a non-coding RNA of Apiotrichum porosum, 103 nucleotides long. Lineage: Eukaryota; Fungi; Basidiomycota; Tremellomycetes; Trichosporonales; Trichosporonaceae. The record is from the annotation of a RefSeq genome assembly.
GGCGAUUUAGCUCAGUUGGUUAGAGCGUGUGCUUAACACUAGAGAACUGUUCAACAGUCAAGCGUUGCGCACAAGGUCGGCGGUUCGACCCCGUCAAACGUCA